This 2557-nucleotide long non-coding RNA is filed under the name Chrysolophus pictus (golden pheasant). RNAcentral's name for it is "lncRNA (ENSCPIG00010000559.1)". The record is from RNAcentral. Lineage: Eukaryota; Metazoa; Chordata; Aves; Galliformes; Phasianidae.
GGUUACUUGGGACUGGACGGGGCCAUGUUGGAUAUAUUAAUGAGGGGAUGUGGUCAAUUAGGAUGGGGGCGGGGCGUAUUGAAUAUGCUAAUGAUGUGGACGUGGUCACUUCCGGUGGGAGAUAGAAAUGUUAAUGAGAGGGCGUGGUUAAUUGGGAUAGGUGCGGGGACAUACUGAAUAUGUUAAUGAUGUGGGCAGGGUCACUUCCGGUGGGAGGCAGAUAUGUUAAUAGGGGGGCGUGGUUAAUUAGGAUGGGGCGGGGACAUAUUGGGUACGUUAAUGAGGGGGCGUGGUCUCAUUGAGCGGGGCGGGGGCAUAUUGCAUAUGCUAAUGAGGGGGGCGUGGUCACUUGGGGUGUGGAGAGGGGCGUGGCCAAUGAGUAUGGGUUAUGCUAAUGAGGAGGGGGGCGUGGUCACUGUAAGAGGGGGCGUGGCUUCCUCGUGACCACGUCCAAUCAUCUCAGCCCCUGCGGAGAAGCCCCGCCCCCCCGAGCUGGAGCCGACCUAUCAGGAGCUUCGAGGCGCCCGCGGGGACAUUUACAGCAGCCUGACCCAAUAAAGGCCGAUUUCAACCCAAAAAUUUCCUCCUUUUUUGCCUCAUUUCUCAUCAUCUCAGCCCCAUUUCCCCCUUUUUUGACUCAUUUCCCCCUUUUUUGCCUCAUUUCCCCCUUUUUUUGCCUUGUUUUCCCCUAUUUUUGCCUUAUUUCCCCCUUUUUUACUUAAUUUUCCCCUCUUUUUGCCUUGUUUUCCCCCUUUUUUGCCUUAUUUCUCCCCAUUUUCUGCUUCGUUUCCCCAUUUUUACCCUGUUUUCUCCCUUUGUUGCCACAUUUUCUCCUUUUAUUGCCUCAUUUCCCCCCAUUUUCUGCUUCAUUUCCUUUUUUUUGCCCCAUUUCUCCCCAUUUUCUGCUUCAUUUCUCUCCAUUUUCUGCUUCAUUUCCCCCUUUUUUGCCUCAUUUUCCCAUUUUUGCCUCAUUUCUCCCCAUUUUCUGCUUCAUUCCCCCUUUUUACGCCCUUUUCUCCCUUUUUUGCCCCAUUUCCCCCUUUUUUGCCUCAUUUUCCCAUUUUUGCCUCAUUUCUCCCCAUUUUCUGCUUCAUUCCCCCUUUUUACGCCCUUUUCUCCCUUUUUUGCCCCAUUUCCCCCUUUUUUGCCUCAUUUUCCCAUUUUUGCCUCAUUUCUCCCCAUUUUCUGCUUCAUUCCCCCUUUUUACGCCCUUUUCUCCCUUUUUUGCCCCAUUUCCCCCUUUUUUGCCUCAUUUUCCCAUUUUUGCCUCAUUUCUCCCCAUUUUCUGCUUCAUUCCCCCUUUUUACGCCCUUUUCUCCCUUUUUUGCCCCAUUUCCCCCUUUUUUGCCUCAUUUUCCCAUUUUUGCCUCAUUUCCCCCUUUUUCUGCCUCGUUUUCCCCUAUUUUUGCCCCAUUUCCCUCUUUCUUGUCUCAUUUUCCCCUUUUUUUGCCUCGUUUUCCCCCAUUUUUGCCUCGUUUCCCCCCAUUUUCUGCUUCGUUUUCCCCUUUUCUGCCUCAAUUUCCCUUUUUUUUUGCUUCAUUUCUCCCCAUUUUCUGCUUCAUUCCCCCUUUUUACGCCCUUUUCUCCCUUUUUUGCCCCAUUUCCCCCUUUUUUGCCUCAUUUCCCCCUUUUUCUGCCUCGUUUUCCCCUAUUUUUGCCCCAUUUCCCUCUUUCUUGUCUCAUUUUCCCCCUUUUUUACCUCGUUUUCCCACUUUUUUGCCUCAUUUCCCCCUUUUUCUGCCUCGUUUUCCCCUAUUUUUGCCCCAUUUCCCUCUUUCUUGUCUCAUUUUCCCCCUUUUUUACCUCGUUUUCCCACUUUUUUGCCUCAUUUCCCCCUUUGUUUGCCCCCAUUUCCCUCUUUUUUGCCCCAUUUCCCCCCAUUUUCUGCUUCAUUUUCCUCUUUUUGCCUCAAUUUCCCCAUUUUUUGCCUCAUUUUCCCCUUUUUCCGCCUCGUUUUCCCCUAUUUUUGCCCCAUUUCCCUCUUUUUUGUCUCAUUUUCCCCCUUUUUUGUCCCAUUUUCCCCUUUUUUUGCCACAUUUUCCCCUUUUUUGCCUCUUUCCCCCCCAUUUUUGCCUCAUUUCUCCCCCUUUUUUUGCCUCAUUUCCCCAUUUUUGCCUCAUUUCUCUCAUUUUCUGCUUUACUUCCCCCUGUUUUUUGCCUCAAUUUCCCUUUUUUUGAUCCACUCCCCUCUUUUUUCCUUAUUUCUCCCCAUUUUCUACUUCAUUUCCCCCUUUUUUGCCCCCAUUUCCCCCUUUUUUGCCCCAUUUCUCACCAUUUUCUGCUUCAUUUCCCCCCUUUUUUUGUCUCAAUUUCCAUUUCUCCCCAUUUUCUUCUUCAUUUCCCCCCUUUUUUUGUCUCAAUUUCCUUUUUUUGAUCUGUUUUCCCCCUUUUUUGCCUCAUUUCUCCCUAUUUUCUCCUUCAUUUCUCCCUUUUUUAUCCCCCUUUCCCCCUUUUUUUGCCCCAUUUCCCCCCUUUUUUGCCUCAUUUCUCCCCUUUUCUGCUUCAUUUCCCCCUUUUUUNNNNNNNNNNNNNNNNNNNNNNNNNNNNNNNNNNNNNN